This 532-nucleotide ribosomal RNA is filed under the name uncultured fungus. RNAcentral's name for it is "SSU rRNA". It matches the Rfam family "Eukaryotic small subunit ribosomal RNA", at positions 109 to 644 of the family's 1831-position model. The record is from RNAcentral. Lineage: Eukaryota; Fungi.
GUUAUCGUUUAUUUGAUGGUACCUUACUACUUGGAUAACCGUGGUAAUUCUAGAGCUAAUACAUGCUAAAAGCCUCGACUUCGGGAGGGGUGUAUUUAUUAGAUAAAAAACCAAUGCCCUUCGGGGCUCCUUGGUGAUUCAUAAUAACUUAACGAAUCGCAUGGCCUUGUGCCGGCGAUGGUUCAUUCAAAUUUCUGCCCUAUCAACUUUCGAUGGUAGGAUAGUGGCCUACCAUGGUUUUAACGGGUAACGGGGAAUUAGGGUUCUAUUCCGGAGAGGGAGCCUGAGAAACGGCUACCACAUCCAAGGAAGGCAGCAGGCGCGCAAACUACCCAAUCCCAAUACGGGGAGGUAGUGACAAUAAAUACUGAUACAGGGCUCUUUUGGGUCUUGUAAUUGGAAUGAGUACAAUUUAAAUCUCUUAACGAGGAACAAUUGGAGGGCAAGUCUGGUGCCAGCAGCCGCGGUAAUUCCAGCUCCAAUAGCGUAUAUUAAAGUUGUUGCAGUUAAAAAGCUCGUAGUUGAAACUUGG